RNAcentral lists this ribosomal RNA (497 nucleotides) under uncultured bacterium. RNAcentral describes it as "partial 16S ribosomal RNA". It matches the Rfam family "Bacterial small subunit ribosomal RNA", at positions 28 to 507 of the family's 1533-position model. The record is from RNAcentral.
GAUGAACGCUGGCGGCGUGCCUAAUACAUGCAAGUCGAGCGAACAGACGAGGAGCUUGCUCCUCUGACGUUAGCGGCGGACGGGUGAGUAACACGUGGAUAACCUACCUAUAAGACUGGGAUAACUUCGGGAAACCGGCGCUAAUACCGUAUAAUAUAUUGAACCGCAUGGUUCAAUAGUGAAAGACGGUUUUGCUGUCACUUAUAGAUGGAUCCGCGCCGCAUUAGCUAGUUGGUAAGGUAACGGCUUACCAAGGCAACGAUGCGUAGCCGACCUGAGAGGGGGAUCGGCCACACUGGAACGGAGACACGGUCAAGACUCCUACGGGAGGCAGCAGUAGGGAAUCUUCCGCAAUGGGCGAAAGCCUGACGGAGCAACGCCGCGUGAGUGAUGAAGGUCUUCGGAUCGUAAAACUCUGUUAUUAGGGAAGAACAAAUGUGUAAGUAACUAUGCACGUCUUGACGGUACCUAAUCAGAAAGCCACGGCUAACUACGUG